AUAAAUUAUAGUAGUUAUACAAUUGAUAUAUCAAAUUAUAUCAUUGAUAUAGCAUAUUUGUUAGUCACUUGUGUAUAUUAUUAGUGGAUUUAAUUAAAAUAGUUAGUAAUUUGGUUUUAAAUUUAUUGUUGUUUUGGUACAUGAUCAUCAACUUAUAGUGCACGAACAGAAAUACUCAUUUUUUAUAGCAUUUGAAAAUAGCAUUAUAUAAAACAUGCUGUAAAAGAAAAUGAAAAAAAAAAAAAAAAAUGGGGGCACUCAAAUUUUAAGGAAAAAAUCGUUCCAUCCAACGUUUUUUCUCAUUCUUGAAUCUUAAAAACAAAGCUCAAAUUUCUAUCUCUAUGCUACAACUAAGUUAGAGUUCCUUGAAUCUUUACCUUACUAGUGAAACCCAUAAGAAACUUUCACAAAAAAAAAUGUUUUUCAAUCACUUGUAACUCGUCUUCUCGAAACUCCCAAUUUCUCUUUCUCAUGAUGUUGCUUUAUGGGGUCUUAUUUUUCUUCAUUUUCUUGCUCUUUCUCACAAUGAUGUCACUGAAGCAACCUCAAUCCAUGUGAAUAAAAUCCACUUCUCUUCAGAACUACUCAAAAAAUCGAAACCCCAUUUGUUUCCAUUUUUCCUAAAAACGGAUUGAUGAUUGGUUCAAUGUUCUAUUUCUGAGAUUGAAUGAUUUGAUUGUGUGUAUAUUUUGUUUCUUAAGUUAUUAGGUCCGAUCAAGAGUCGACGAUGUCAGUUUCAUUGAUGGAGAAGACGAAGACGAUGAAGCUGAUGAUGAACAGCAGUGAUGGAUGUUGAACGAUCACUAGUGACAGCUAAAGAGCUUUUAGCAAUACACGCUGCCUAUCUAUGGAAGCCACAAGUUGACACGACGUCGGCCGCCAUUGUCCCGAUCUUUGUCGAAAUGUUUUAGGAAAACCUUGGAAAAUUGGUGAAGAUCGAUUGGCUAAUUAAAUCGAGUAUUGGAAUUUGUCUUGGAUCAAGCCACAACUUUAUGUUGAUUCAUGUGUGCUAAAAAAGUUCUAAGGAGAUUUUGUUUUGUGUUUUUUACCAAGUUGAGGUAAGGGUAGAGAUACACUGACGAUGGACAAGCGGAAUUCAUGAUCGAGCCACUGGGACUAGUU
This is a long non-coding RNA of Benincasa hispida (wax gourd), 1122 nucleotides long. RefSeq lists it as uncharacterized. Lineage: Eukaryota; Viridiplantae; Streptophyta; Magnoliopsida; Cucurbitales; Cucurbitaceae. The record is from RefSeq and is a predicted model, not a curated record.